GGAUGUGAGGAUGAUCUGGUUGUGACAUCUGUCAUCCCAUUGAUCACCAGAGUUGAUUCAACUGAUCUGGCUGGUUAGGUGAGUGUCCCCUUCCUCCCUCACCACUCCAUGUGCAUCCCUUCCAAAGCUGCACACUCGGUCAAAGAGGAUGACCAUCCCUGAUAGAGGAGGACCAUUCUUCGGUCAAGGGUAUAUGAGUAGCUGCACUCCCCUGCUAGAACCUCCAAACAAGCUCUCAAGAAACCCUGUUUUGGUCAGGUGUGGAGAGUCAUGCCUGUUAUUCCAACACUUGGGAGGUUGAGACAGGAGGAUCAUGAGUUUAAGAUCAGCCUAGUUUCUCAAACUU
RNAcentral lists this small nuclear RNA (346 nucleotides) under Castor canadensis (American beaver). RNAcentral describes it as "7SK RNA (ENSCCNG00000007411.1)". The stretch from base 1 to 306 matches the Rfam family "7SK RNA". Rfam says of the family: 7SK was discovered as an abundant small nuclear RNA in the mid-70s but a possible function has only recently been suggested. Two independent studies have found that 7SK RNA binds the CDK9/cyclin T complex (known as elongation factor P-TEFb). The record is from RNAcentral. Lineage: Eukaryota; Metazoa; Chordata; Mammalia; Rodentia; Castoridae.